AAGAAUGUUGCCAAAACAGACUCUUGAAGCUUGGAAUGGCUGGAAACGCAACAAGAACAAUCACGCCAAGUUAAUCAACAAUUCAACACAAAUAAAAAAAUAAUUAAAGAAUAACAAACAGCAAGAAAGAUAAUUAAGUCCUAAGAAGCCUUGAAAUCAAUAAAUAUUUCACAACUCCCUUCAACCGGCUCGAAUCUACCCUCCAAUGUAAAAACACGGCAAGAAGAAGGCAGAAGAUGGC
This 241-nucleotide long non-coding RNA is filed under the name Gossypium barbadense (sea-island cotton). RNAcentral's name for it is "long non-coding RNA (GBAR_LNC014906)". The record is from RNAcentral. Lineage: Eukaryota; Viridiplantae; Streptophyta; Magnoliopsida; Malvales; Malvaceae.